Molecule: ribosomal RNA, 411 nt
Filed under: uncultured bacterium
Lineage: Bacteria
Description: bacterial SSU rRNA
Rfam family: Bacterial small subunit ribosomal RNA
Source: RNAcentral
AACGCGAAGAACCUUACCAAGGCUUGACAUACACCGGAAACGGCCAGAGAUGGUCGCCCCCUUGUGGUCGGUGUACAGGUGGUGCAUGGCUGUCGUCAGCUCGUGUCGUGAGAUGUUGGGUUAAGUCCCGCAACGAGCGCAACCCUUGUUCUGUGUUGCCAGCAUGCCCUUCGGGGUGAUGGGGACUCACAGGAGACUGCCGGGGUCAACUCGGAGGAAGGUGGGGACGACGUCAAGUCAUCAUGCCCCUUAUGUCUUGGGCUGCACACGUGCUACAAUGGCCGGUACAAAGAGCUGCGAAACCGUGAGGUGGAGCGAAUCUCAAAAAGCCGGUCUCAGUUCGGAUUGGGGUCUGCAAUCUCGACCCCAUGAAGUACGGAGUUGUGUAGAAUCGCAGAUCAGCAGUGAUGC